This 463-nucleotide long non-coding RNA is filed under the name Rattus norvegicus (Norway rat). Its description in RNAcentral is "long non-coding RNA NONRATT023509". Lineage: Eukaryota; Metazoa; Chordata; Mammalia; Rodentia; Muridae. The record is from RNAcentral.
AGGAGUUUCGGGUUACUAUGGACUGUAAUCCUCUCACUGUGACAGACCCUAUUGAAGAACACAGGAUCUGUGUCUGUGUCAGGAAACGCCCACUGAAUAAACAAGCAAGUGUCUCCUCCUGGUGCAUGAACCCAAGCUGAAAGUGAACUUUAAUGACUGUGCUUCCUCUCCUCCCUGUCAGGAGUGCUGUUUGAUAGUUUCCUGGUACAGCAUCCAGCUGCUGGUAGAGAAGCUUCGAGAUGCAGGCUCUGGCAGAGAAGCAGUGCUUGUCCGGCUCCUGCUGCCUCUGGCUGCCAGCAUCAAUCACCUUUAGUCUGAGCGCUCUCGUGUUUUAUACUUUCAGAAAAAAGGUUUUGAGACCUCUUUGUUUUUGUUUUUGAAGCCUAAGAAAAUCUCUAGUUCUUGCUUUUUAUGUAUUUAUAUGUUGCACCUAACAAUAAAGAAAAAAAAAACAUUUUGUGUG